AUGAUGACGAUGACAUGGAGAAUGCGGAAGAGGACACCGAUGAUGAUGAACAUGCUGAAGUUUUUUGCAGGUGCUAACAAGGGGAAGGAUGCACCAUAUGUCCCCCCACCGGAGAAAGUCAAAGAACAUACAGCUGCGAGAGGCGAGGGGGUGUUGCCAUCAAAGAGGGGGAGGGAUCCAGAGGAUGUUGGGCAGGGUUCUCCUGGCAAGAGGGUGAAGAAGACUUCUACACGCGGGGCCAAGCAUAUCAGUAGGGACCCACUCGAACGCCUUCAUUCAAAGUUGUCAAUAGGGGGCAACUCAGAUGUUCAUGAGGCCCCAGGCGACAAAACUGUUGUUGCAUCGUCAACUGUUCCCACUAACUCUGACGCAAGUGGUCGACCGUCUCCGCCUGCUGCAAAUGUGCAGGCUAGAACAACGGGCAUCCGUACAUCGGGGAGUGACGAGUCGGUAUCUGUCAGGACCGCUGAAAUAUUGCACACUCUGCUGGCAAUGAAGGAUGUUGCUGUUAGCCACGCCACCCCAUCAGGAAGUGUUGAAGUGGAUGCCCCCGAGACCAACCUAAGCAAGGAAGAUUCCCGCUCAUCUGACACUGAUUCCAAGCGCGUGCGUGGCGGCACUCCUGUGCCCAAGAUAGAAGUUGCUGAGGCAGCAGUUCAUAAUGAUAUGUCAUCUGCAGAAGAGCAGAGUACAACUGAUGCAGAUGCCAAGCCGGGCACGAGUGAUGAAGGUGAACGUCCGGAGCAGACUGCGCCUUUACCCAUAGUGGAAAUCCCCAGCUUAAAUCUAUGCACUUCCAAACUCCCAAUCAACAUCGGUGUCUCCUAUAGCCCCAACAAGAGGAUUGUCAACAAAUCUACGCCCGUCACCACUGACAGCACGCCCCGCCCUAUUGGCAAGCCUGAUGAUUCUGUAGCGGCUGAUCUAGAAGAUAUGUUUGUUGAUCUUUCACCGUUGGAUUCUGCCCCGCAAGUUGUUCGCGGUCCGGCCAGUAGGCAUGAGAGGCACCCAAUGGCCUUCACCCCACCGAGCUUCAUCCUUGGCAUCAGUCAAGAUCAACCAGUGGCUCAAGAUCCUAUGCCAGUUGCCUUUGCUUUUCCUGGAGGCAUGCCCGCAAUGAUGGUGCAGCCAAUGGUUGAGGACAGGAAGGCUGUCAAGUUCGCAGAGCCGAUCGUCCAAGGCACCCCUGAGGAGAUUUCACCGUCACUUGAUGAAGCUUACCGCAGGAUUGAGGAGGCAGCAUUGCAGAGGAGGUCCUCACGAGGGAAGGGGCAAUCAAGUUCCAACGUGUCUGCAAAUACGGUAUCUGAGGAUACCAUUAGGAGUGCCACCCCUGGUUCUGUGAGGCAGCAGAGGAUAGUUCACCCACCUCCCGCGGAAGACUACAAGCCCGAAUUCAGGGCCACAAAGGAACAGACCCAGCUGUACGAUAUUGUCAAGCGGUUUGAAAAUGUGAGGGCCAGCAGCAAGCACAUGAAGGAGCUGAAAGCGUAA
This 1494-nucleotide ribosomal RNA is filed under the name Triticum aestivum (bread wheat). RNAcentral's name for it is "partial small subunit ribosomal RNA". The record is from RNAcentral. Lineage: Eukaryota; Viridiplantae; Streptophyta; Magnoliopsida; Poales; Poaceae.